Molecule: ribosomal RNA, 502 nt
Filed under: Pycnococcus provasolii
Lineage: Eukaryota; Viridiplantae; Chlorophyta; Pseudoscourfieldiophyceae; Pseudoscourfieldiales; Pycnococcaceae
Description: partial Bacterial large subunit ribosomal RNA
Rfam family: Bacterial large subunit ribosomal RNA
Source: RNAcentral
GUCGGGUAAGUUCCGACCUGCACGAAUGGCGUAACGAUGGCCACACUGUCUCCUCCUGAGACUCAGCGAAGUUGAAAUGUUUGUGAUGAUGCAAUCUCCCCGCGGAAAGACGGAAAGACCCCAUGAACCUUUACUGUAGCUUUGUAUUGGACUUUGAACAGAUCUGUGUAGGAUAGGUGGGAGGCUUUGAAGCAGUGCCGCUAGGUGCUGUGGAGCCAACGUUGAAAUACCACCCUGGUGUGUUUGAGGUUCUAACCUUGGCCCGUUAUCCGGGUUGGGGACAGUGUAUGGUGGGCAGUUUGACUGGGGCGGUCUCCUCCCAAAGCGUAACGGAGGAGUUCGAAGGUACGCUAGUUACGGUCGGACAUCGUGACGAUAGUGCAAUGGCAUAAGCGUGCUUAACUGCGAGACUGACAAGUCGAGCAGGUACGAAAGUAGGUCAUAGUGAUCCGGUGGUUCCAAAUGGAAGGGCCAUCGCUCAUCGGAUAAAAGGUACUCCGGG